GCACUGCUGAGGAGUCCCACAAUAGGACGAAGUGGCCGUCCAGUGC
This is a non-coding RNA of Schistosoma mattheei, 46 nucleotides long. Lineage: Eukaryota; Metazoa; Platyhelminthes; Trematoda; Strigeidida; Schistosomatidae. The record is from Rfam.